CCCUCUGCGCCCAAGUUAGAAAAAGCAGGGAAGUCACAUGGAAACUUGCUCGGAAUCUACGAAAGCCUGGGUGAGGUCGCAGGAAACAGGCGUCCUGGAUUAAGUUGGUUUUACAUGCACUUGACAUUUUGUCCUUUUUCACUCUUCCAGCUCUUUCCCUGCCUUGGCUUUCCUCCCUUCCUCUUCUGUCUUCCUCUAUUUAUUUAUGUAUUUACUGUCGUUACAUUCAGUACCCUGUUUCAUCCUCAUCAGUGCCUUUUUAUAACCACAGGAAAUCGCCUGAAGCAACAAGGCUUAAAAUAGACAAGAAGAGCCCUGGUUUUCGUGUCAGAAAGUCUCCAGUUGGACCAACGCCAGUGUGGACAGCUUGGAGCCCCCGAAUAAGACAUUUGGUCUCAUGUCUCACGGCUUUCUUGUGGGACAUCAAAGGCCCUGUAGAGAACAAGAUGGAGUCACUCAUGUCAAGUAGUGAUGUAAUCAGGAAAGCAGGCAAAGGUGUUGCACCUAAGACCAGAUACCACCCAACCCAGCAGACUGACCGGGACUAAGGACCGUUCAUUCAUAAGGCCACAUCAACCUGGAAGGACCAGGAGCUGAUAACCAAUAGAAUCAGAAGAGGCCUGCAAAGGCCCAAGACUGAUUGAACUCUUGAAAAGGACGGACUCUUGCAACAAAUUGUCAAAUUCUCCACACGUUGGCUCUUACACAUCUGACCACAUUUGAAAGGCCACAGCCAACAAAGGCUGUGCCUCGUUGAUCUCUGAACAUGACAGAGAUCCUUCACUGCGGUACCCACCGAGAGCUGAUCCAGACCGGACCUAGGAGCCAACCCAACUGCACGCCCGAGGAUUGACUUCGCGUUUGGUUCAUUGAUUUCUUACUCCUUAUUGUAUCUUGUGUGUUGCAUGACUUUGUCCCGUGCUUUGUUUUGUGUGCUGUGGAGGAAGCCAAGUUACACGUGCAGUGAAACGUCAUAGAGUUUGGAAUCCUGAACCUGCUUUACAAGUAUGUUAACCUUGCAUUAGGAUUGAAUAAAGCCAACACUGUAGAAAGACACAACCUCAGGAGGUGCCUUCGUAAUGUGCUUGCUACAGACCCAGAUUGAAAAAGUAAGAAAAACAGAAAAGUAACUCUGUGUUUGGCAAAACUUGAAUUUACUGAGUAGAUCCAUCUGUAGUUCUGGGAGACGGAUUUUCGCAAAAAUCACUUGCAAAACUACAUUCUUUUUCUAGCUUUUUCCAGUGCUUCAUUUCAGUGAUCCUUAUUCUCAGCUGAAGUUCAUACCUACCAGGAAUGUUGUGGGGACUAAUUAAAUAAAGUACAUUUUAACCACCAGGCAGUGCCAAGUAUUUUAUUAAAUUCUGGAAACAUUUUCCCCUUGCCUGAAGGAAAUGGAGGAAC
RNAcentral lists this long non-coding RNA (1401 nucleotides) under Suricata suricatta (meerkat). Its description in RNAcentral is "lncRNA (ENSSSUG00005012311.1)". Lineage: Eukaryota; Metazoa; Chordata; Mammalia; Carnivora; Herpestidae. The record is from RNAcentral.